Molecule: transfer RNA, 73 nt
Filed under: Heliconius melpomene (postman butterfly)
Lineage: Eukaryota; Metazoa; Arthropoda; Insecta; Lepidoptera; Nymphalidae
Description: tRNA HMEL010609
Source: RNAcentral
UAACGUACAGCUUAAUUGGCUAGAGUACUUGGACUGCGUCCAAGGGGCGCGGUUUCGAAUCCCGCUGAGGUCG